This 72-nucleotide transfer RNA is filed under the name Heterocephalus glaber (naked mole-rat). It matches the Rfam family "tRNA". Rfam says of the family: Transfer RNA (tRNA) molecules are approximately 80 nucleotides in length. Their secondary structure includes four short double-helical elements and three loops (D, anti-codon, and T loops). Further hydrogen bonds mediate the characteristic L-shaped molecular structure. tRNAs have two regions of fundamental functional importance: the anti-codon, which is responsible for specific mRNA codon recognition, and the 3' end, to which the tRNAs corresponding amino acid is attached (by aminoacyl-tRNA synthetases). tRNAs cope with the degeneracy of the genetic code in two manners: having more than one tRNA (with a specific anti-codon) for a particular amino acid; and 'wobble' base-pairing, i.e. permitting non-standard base-pairing at the 3rd anti-codon position. Lineage: Eukaryota; Metazoa; Chordata; Mammalia; Rodentia; Bathyergidae. The record is from Rfam by way of RNAcentral.
GGGAAUGUAGCUCUGUGGUAGAGCACUUGCCCAGCAUGUGAGAGGCCCUGGGUUCAAUUCCCAGUAUCUUUC